UACGUAGGGGGCAAGCGUUGUCCGGAAUCAUUGGGCGUAAAGAGCGUGUAGGCGGCCACUUAAGUCCUGCGUGAAAUCUUGCGGCUCAACCGCAAGCGGUCGUGGGAAACUGGGUGGCUAGAGUGCGGGAGAGGAGAGUGGAAUUCCUGGUGUAGCGGUGGAAUGCGCAGAUAUCAGGAGGAACACCAAUGGCGAAGGCAGCUCGCUGGGACGGUACUGACGCUGAGAGACGAAAGCUAGGGGAGCGAAUGGG
RNAcentral lists this ribosomal RNA (253 nucleotides) under uncultured bacterium. RNAcentral describes it as "partial 16S ribosomal RNA". It matches the Rfam family "Bacterial small subunit ribosomal RNA", at positions 524 to 776 of the family's 1533-position model. The record is from RNAcentral.